AACUAGAUCUCAAAUGAAGCGAGAAUACCCGCCGAACUUAAGCAUAUCAUUAAGCGGAGGAAAAGAAACUAACAAGGAUGCCCUCAGUAACGGCGAGUGAAGCGGGCAAAGCUCAAACUGAAAAUCGGUGCUCCAUGCGGGGCUUCGAAUUGUAGUCUAUAGACGCGCCAUCAGCGAUGAACCGGGUAUAAAUCUUUUGAAACAAGGUGUCAUAGAGGGUGAGAACCCCGUCUUUGACUCGGAGCUCAUUGCGUACGAUGCGUGUUCAAAGAGUCGAGUUGCUUGGGAUUGCAGCUCUAAGUGGGUGGUAAACUUCAUCUAAAGCUAAAUAUUGACGGGAGACCGAUAGCGAACAAGUACCGUGAGGGAAAGAUGAAAAGAACUUUGAAAAGAGAGUUAAAAAGUACUUGAAAUUGUUAAGAGGGAAGCACUGGAAACCAGUAUUGCCGGUUGCUGUUUCGCCUCUGCGUGGGUUGGAGGCUGCGCGUCGUGAGGUUAAACCACGAUUGCGUAGUCGAAGGCUCGUGUGGGGGUUCUGCAGUAGCUGGUGGGUCAAAAUCAAUUUGGUUCGUGGGAGAAAGCUAUGCGGAAGGUAGGGCCGACGGGCAACCGAAGGCCUGUUAUAGCCGUGUAGUGCUACCAUGGGCUGGAUUGAGGAACAAAUGCGCGCCACUAGGUUUUAGUUCCUCGUUCCUGGGGUGUGAUCGGCGCUGGAUAGCAAAGCUAUGCACGUUGAGUAGCGCUCUACUGGGCGGGAUGAACUAGAUGCAGCAUUCGAGAUUUUGACGAAAUGGUUUUCAUUGACCCGUCUUGAAACACGGACCAAGGAGUCUAACAUAUAUGCGAGUG
RNAcentral lists this ribosomal RNA (849 nucleotides) under uncultured Ascomycota. RNAcentral describes it as "eukaryotic LSU rRNA". It matches the Rfam family "Eukaryotic large subunit ribosomal RNA", at positions 1 to 692 of the family's 3401-position model. Lineage: Eukaryota; Fungi; Ascomycota. The record is from RNAcentral.